UUCAGUCAAAGGGAUGACUUCAGUCUCUUUCUUAACUAAUCCUGUCACUGUAAAAUCCUACAGUCAUUCUUCCAACAUAAAGGGAAAACGGACUCACUAGGAGGACCUAGACUCUUUCAGCUUGAACUGUUAACCAAUGGUGGAAAUGCAAGAAUGCUGAAGUUGUGCCUUCAGAGCCAAUAGAGUGGAUUUGUGUGUCCCACAUGACUGUGUUUCCCCUGUCUUUCACAUGGGCAGUAUUUAGUUCAAUUCAGAACUGCAGAUAGUAUAGCGUGCAGAACAGCAAUGGGAUGUCUGAGCACAAGUAGCUGACUUCCAGGCGACUUCAGGAAGCAAAUUUGUACAUUUCUCCUGAAUUAUCUGGGAUUCUGCACCCCUGACAUUCUCCAACCCUCCUUUUCGCUGCAGAAGGAGACAGCGACCUGCACAGCACAACGAAACUACAAAUCACCACAGAGCUACAGACCAGCAAUGAAGAGAGCUGAGGGCAAUUUGACCAACAUCAUCCGUGUCGGUUCCCCAGAAGUCGAUGAAACAAGUAAUCAGGUCUCAAGACCACAAGAUUUAGAAGAUCACUGGUGAAGAAAGACACUGGGCCAACCCAUUCUGUUGAUAUGACACAAAGUACAGCACAGUUUGGUAUUCCUUCCACUCUGAAGGAGUUUCACAUCAGAGCUAAAGGUCUGGCAAGUGAAGAACUAAAUGACAAAUACCACAUCAGCUGAACAUAAAAGCAUUCCAUGUAACAGAAGAUACCCACACUUUGAGACCAGAGACCAGUUUAAAUCCUUAACCAUGCAGGAUGGCAAAACAUUUGUUACAUAACAGCAGCUUCACAUGGCAUUUUUACAUCCUGCCAUCUUUUCACAGAAGAACAGAAAAUUAGACUUCUACCGGCUCUGAGAGACGGGGAGUGGAGCCAGCAGCAAUAUUUAGCAGAGUGACUGAUUUCUGGCACCAUCUAGCUUCUCUGCAACAGGAAUCUGGCAGCCUGGCUGGCAUGCACUAGUGCUUCAAGAUGUUUUGCAGCUGCUACUCUUCCCCAGAGAUGGCUGUAUUCCAGUAAGUGGUGAAAUACUCCCUCAAACUCUUUUUUCCAGCAGAGGUUAACAGAGAUGUUUCCAUAGGUCUCAGGCAACAUCAAAACAUGGUGAUUGGGUGUGUGGCUGGAUUUCUUGAAAAACAUUAGCCUUAGAUUGACUGCAUCAGUAAUUAGAGCUGAUGCUACACUCCAACACACUGCAGAAAAAACUGCAGUUAGUGUCUGUAGAACACAGUGAGCAUCUUAGAUUACAGUGAUUGUUAUUUGAUUUUGUUCUUGCAGUUUUUAAGAUCACAAAAGAAAAAUACUUUUCAUUUUGGCCUCUUGAUAGCUGCACAGAUUUUUUUUUACUUUCAGCAUAUAACUCAAAGUCAUCUAAGAACAAAUUGAAUUUCUAAUAACUACAGUCAACUGGAUUUAAUUCCUUUCAGUGGAAGCACAGCAGUGUCAAUACUUACUGAGAUUUAGUAUUAGUGCUGAUUUAUUGAAAGUAAAAUGUCAAUACAACAUGAAAAUGUGUCAUUUUAGAAAGGUUUAAUAAAAAAGUUGAACACAACACAAAAAAUUGAAAAUAUAAGAACCAAUAACUGAUCAUUCUAAUUCACUUCUUUCCAGAUGAGCAUCCAGGUGUCAGCUGGUAUAAAUGCAGAUGCCACUGUCAAUGGAGCUGUGUCAGUUUACUCUAGCUGAGAAUCUGAUCCCAAGUGUGCUACUGCCAUUUUUAGACACUGCCACUGGAAUUCACUUUUGCAAGACAAUUAAAAAAAUAAAAUACAUCCACACAUUGCAUUUCUUCCUGUCCCUAAGUGUUUAACUGGAAGUUUGUUGACAGACUGUGGGAGAGGGCAAGUGGGAGGUGGAAGUAGCCAACAACUGCAUCCAUGAGAUAACUAUGCAGUAUCAGUACAAACACUGUUCCGUUGUCUUCCUUUUAUACAAACGAAUAUUUGGCUUCAGAAAGUUUUAACUCCACCUUCCACUAACAAACAAUUCCAUGUCAGCGAAAGAAAAAUGAUGCUGUAAACCACGUGAACUAUCUACCUCAUAAUUUUGCUAACAUAGUAUUUUAACCAGUACACAUUCUGGAUAGACGGUUUUAAUGCACCAUUAGAAAAAGCACCUACAGCUACAAGAGCCCCAAGGCUGAGUUCUGGGUAUUCACCUAUGUAUUUGUACCUAAGCAAUCUCCCUGCUGUACCAGCAGGAAGAUUGGUAACAGCUCUAAGGCAGCUGUUUGAAGUGGCCUGCAAGCCAGACUUUGAUCUGGCUGACAUCUUUCAUAUCUCACCGAGCAUUUGUGUGGGCGAGAGAGGAGGAAGAAAGGAAAAGGUGGGGCAAUAAGCAGGGCAGAGUAGUACUUGACAGCUCCACCAUUUCCAAGCAGGGAGAAGGAGCUUUUGCCUGUUUUACAUAAGGCAGUCAUUAACAUGAGUGCAUUGUAUAACAGCUUCCCAGUACUAACCACUGCAAUGGAGUUGGAAUGUUGGUCUUUUUAUUCAACAUAGCAAGGUCAAAAUGGAAAAGGUAAUUAAUUAGACCUGAAGAUGCUGUUCACAUAGUAUUGAAAUAAUUGUCUAUUUGUGCAAGCACAACAACCAUAUCUUCAAUUUAGGUCAGGCCAUCAAGAGGAGGAAAAGGACUGAAGACUGAAGAUGAGAUGCUCUACUUCACACAGUUGCCCUCUGGAAGGACUUGCAAAGGCAGUCACUUAAAUUAAGUACAGACUUAAGAGUGGACCUAGCAGAAAAGAACUCUGACAAGCUGAGCUUCAAGAACACCUGCAUAAGAACUCUGCUCACAAAUUAAAAUAAGAAAGAAAGUCUGUGAAACUGCCAGCUCCUUGCAGAAAGACUGAAACAUGAUCCGCAGAGAAGGGUGUUGGUGUCGGUAAGAGAAAAAUGAUUGAAGUUGCAUCAUCUGUAUAAUGAAAAUCAUUGUGUGAACUUUGAUUUCCCCCCCACUACUUUCAGACAUUUGAGGAUGCAGCCAAGUCAAUGGAGUUCUGUUGUAGUGGUUGCUUCAGUGAACAUUCAACGCUGUCGGUGAGUUUGGAAUUAAAGUGAAAACCAUCGACCGUUGAUUGUACCCUCCAGCUAACCAUCCUCCUCCUUACUUCAUGCUUUCAGGCCUUAACACCGAAGAUAGCAACCUAACCAUCAUAUGAUGUUUCUCCCUCACCCUGCCAAGCUUUACAAAAAGGUCACAAUGAACAUUCAUUGCUGUCGGUGGGUUUAACUAUGUGGACAAGCUCACUGAACAAUGAAUGCAACUGUGGCCCCACAUUGUACGGUUUCCAUUGAGAGGAGCAGCAGCUCUGAAGGUGAUAGUGAGAAACAAACACUUCUUAUAAGCUACAGUUUUCUGGUCAGAAAAAAUAGUUGGCGUUAUCCACUUUUUGCUUGCUUGGCUUUGAGUGUUGGUUUAGCCAACUAGGAAAAUACCUGCUGCCUUUUUCUGGAGCAUCGUCCUCACAGGGGUUCAGUAACAUUGAAAAUGUGAGAAUUCUUAUUUACUAUGUAUGCAGAAAAAAUAACAGGACAGGAAGCUCUGUAUAUCCACUCCUAAGGACUCUGACUGAAGAGGAAAGAAUAUUUAAUUGCCAUUUAACUAGACAUUGUUGAAGAGUUCAAAAGUUUCUAUACUUGUCAUGACAAAUGCAAUCGGGAACAUAUGGGAUUUAAGAGUUAUGGAUAAAAAUGUUAUAUCAAAAAAAUUAAUUUUACAUUAAACUGAUUUUAAGAAUACAAAUACUAUUGCAUUUGCUAUUCUUAGGGAUCUGAAAGGUGACAAAAAAAUGUAUAUCCAGAAAUAAUAAUGGAAAAGCAGUUAAAUUUUAAAGUUACUGUAAACUGAGUACCUAUGUCACGUUUUGAGUUUUGUGAUAAGAAAAUAAAGUGUAAAUAAGCUCA
Lonchura striata (white-rumped munia) is the source of this 3951-nucleotide non-coding RNA. The record is from RefSeq and is a predicted model, not a curated record. Lineage: Eukaryota; Metazoa; Chordata; Aves; Passeriformes; Estrildidae.